This is an RNA transcript of Homo sapiens (human), 1984 nucleotides long. It is a transcript of the gene named perilipin 2, with no coding region annotated. The record is from RefSeq and is marked reviewed. NCBI's taxonomy places the organism in Eukaryota, Metazoa, Chordata, Mammalia, Primates, Hominidae. The transcript is spliced from 7 exons.
GCUUUGACCGGGUCGUGGCAGCCGGAGUCGUCUUCGGGACGCGCCUGCUCUUCGCCUUUCGCUGCAGUCCGUCGAUUUCUUUCUCCAGGAAGAAAAAUGGCAUCCGUUGCAGUUGAUCCACAACCGGUAUGAAUUUUGAGUAGCCUUUGUCUACUUUCUCUCCUUUUGUGUUUUGAGAGAUUAAUAAGCAUACCCUCCCUACUUUGAUUGCAGAGUGUGGUGACUCGGGUGGUCAACCUGCCCUUGGUGAGCUCCACGUAUGACCUCAUGUCCUCAGCCUAUCUCAGUACAAAGGACCAGUAUCCCUACCUGAAGUCUGUGUGUGAGAUGGCAGAGAACGGUGUGAAGACCAUCACCUCCGUGGCCAUGACCAGUGCUCUGCCCAUCAUCCAGAAGCUAGAGCCGCAAAUUGCAGUUGCCAAUACCUAUGCCUGUAAGGGGCUAGACAGGAUUGAGGAGAGACUGCCUAUUCUGAAUCAGCCAUCAACUCAGAUUGUUGCCAAUGCCAAAGGCGCUGUGACUGGGGCAAAAGAUGCUGUGACGACUACUGUGACUGGGGCCAAGGAUUCUGUGGCCAGCACGAUCACAGGGGUGAUGGACAAGACCAAAGGGGCAGUGACUGGCAGUGUGGAGAAGACCAAGUCUGUGGUCAGUGGCAGCAUUAACACAGUCUUGGGGAGUCGGAUGAUGCAGCUCGUGAGCAGUGGCGUAGAAAAUGCACUCACCAAAUCAGAGCUGUUGGUAGAACAGUACCUCCCUCUCACUGAGGAAGAACUAGAAAAAGAAGCAAAAAAAGUUGAAGGAUUUGAUCUGGUUCAGAAGCCAAGUUAUUAUGUUAGACUGGGAUCCCUGUCUACCAAGCUUCACUCCCGUGCCUACCAGCAGGCUCUCAGCAGGGUUAAAGAAGCUAAGCAAAAAAGCCAACAGACCAUUUCUCAGCUCCAUUCUACUGUUCACCUGAUUGAAUUUGCCAGGAAGAAUGUGUAUAGUGCCAAUCAGAAAAUUCAGGAUGCUCAGGAUAAGCUCUACCUCUCAUGGGUAGAGUGGAAAAGGAGCAUUGGAUAUGAUGAUACUGAUGAGUCCCACUGUGCUGAGCACAUUGAGUCACGUACUCUUGCAAUUGCCCGCAACCUGACUCAGCAGCUCCAGACCACGUGCCACACCCUCCUGUCCAACAUCCAAGGUGUACCACAGAACAUCCAAGAUCAAGCCAAGCACAUGGGGGUGAUGGCAGGCGACAUCUACUCAGUGUUCCGCAAUGCUGCCUCCUUUAAAGAAGUGUCUGACAGCCUCCUCACUUCUAGCAAGGGGCAGCUGCAGAAAAUGAAGGAAUCUUUAGAUGACGUGAUGGAUUAUCUUGUUAACAACACGCCCCUCAACUGGCUGGUAGGUCCCUUUUAUCCUCAGCUGACUGAGUCUCAGAAUGCUCAGGACCAAGGUGCAGAGAUGGACAAGAGCAGCCAGGAGACCCAGCGAUCUGAGCAUAAAACUCAUUAAACCUGCCCCUAUCACUAGUGCAUGCUGUGGCCAGACAGAUGACACCUUUUGUUAUGUUGAAAUUAACUUGCUAGGCAACCCUAAAUUGGGAAGCAAGUAGCUAGUAUAAAGGCCCUCAAUUGUAGUUGUUUCCAGCUGAAUUAAGAGCUUUAAAGUUUCUGGCAUUAGCAGAUGAUUUCUGUUCACCUGGUAAGAAAAGAAUGAUAGGCUUGUCAGAGCCUAUAGCCAGAACUCAGAAAAAAUUCAAAUGCACUUAUGUUCUCAUUCUAUGGCCAUUGUGUUGCCUCUGUUACUGUUUGUAUUGAAUAAAAACAUCUUCAUGUGGGCUGGGGUAGAAACUGGUGUCUGCUCUGGUGUGAUCUGAAAAGGCGUCUUCACUGCUUUAUCUCAUGAUGCUUGCUUGUAAAACUUGAUUUUAGUUUUUCAUUUCUCAAAUAGGAAUACUACCUUUGAAUUCAAUAAAAUUCACUGCAGGAUAGACCAGUUA